GUAUAUUCAAUGAGCACACGCAAUAUUUGGAGGAUCUGGAGCUGAUCCCUAAGUGUGUAGCGAGCUUUAUCAGUUUGGAGUAGCCUGUAUUGACUUGAUGUAUCUGAACAAGUAUCUAUUGUUUCUCUUGGGGUGUUGGUCAUUGUAUAUGUAGUGAGAACUUGCUUGCAGAUCUCUCAAUGGGUAACCUUGCGAGUAAUCACUGAGUUGGCAGUUAGACUUCCAUGUAGACCCCAAUUGUUGCAGAUGGUUGCGGAGAGCGCACAUGUGAUCGUAGUAAUCGUUGCAUUAUUGCCGUGAAGUUACAAGGACACACGAGUGUACUGUGAAGGACUUGUCGGUUUGUGUCCUAAGUGAUUCACAUGCAAGCUUUGAUUCUGCUUAGGCAGGCUUUCACGUGGGUCUUGUCCUUGUGAAGGAUAAGUCGAGUUACUAUGUAGUCACGGGUGCACUAUGUACCUGGCCUUCCAGCUAUAAAUAGUCCCCCCAGCUGCUGUUGCUGAAACAUGGAUCUGAUUAUAGCGAUGGUUGGCCUUAGGUUGCUUCUCUUUGACAAUAACAAAUUUCCAAUUAGCGCCCUGGUGCUAGAAGAUUCCUCGUAGUGAGGUUCCACAUUCCCUCCACAAAUCUUCGUGCUAGUAGAGAUGACUGCGAUGCUAGAAGAAUCCUCGUAGAAGGAUUUGCCGUGUGCUCGGUCUUUCCCCUUGCUCUCUAGUAGUAACCAUGCUGGAGCUUGCGAGUGAAGGAUGAUGAGCUUCACGGUCUUUAUCCAGUUGUCUGGUCGAGGAUGGAGGCAUGGUGCCAACUGCUCAUUCUCUCUGCAACGUCUCGGGAUGAGACUCAAGUACACAAUGUGUACUUGAAGUCCAGUUCCGAGUACUUGUAGAGGGGAAGGGGUGUUGAUGGAGGGCAGCGGGACUGGAGUGCGUGGAGCUCCAGUCUCUAUCUAUGUCACUGCCGAGGGGAGGAGAAGGGCACAACUGCCUAGAGCGCAGCUUCCUUACAUGCACUCCCCACCUCUUGGUGUCUCUUCCUCCUGAUCUGUGGGUAGUCACUAGGCUCAAGUGUAUCCUUGUGAUAUAAUAAAAGCCUAGGACUUCUGUUGUAACUGCUAGUAGGUAGUUGCUUGCAGUUGUUGUUGUGCACUUAUGUUGUACUCUGAACACUCCGACUUCUUAAAGUGGAGUUAUCUAUUGUAAUUCUGCAAAAUUUCAUUAAUAUGAAGAUUGCAUGUGAGAAAUGAGAUUUGUAGUUUUGUGUACUCUUUAUCUGUCUAUUGUGACAAAUUGAUGCCUGUGGAACUGAGUAGUUCGUGUAGACUUGUUAGCUAAAAAUAGCUCAAAUUUGCAGCUGUAAGCCACUGUGUGAGUUGUAGAGAAC
RNAcentral lists this long non-coding RNA (1380 nucleotides) under Setaria viridis. RNAcentral's name for it is "long non-coding RNA (SVIR_LNC007610)". The record is from RNAcentral. Lineage: Eukaryota; Viridiplantae; Streptophyta; Magnoliopsida; Poales; Poaceae.